UAUUAUUUUAUCUUUUUUAGUUUUAUAUUUUAAUUAUCAGUUGCAAUUAGUGCUACAUAAAGGCCCUUACCUAGAGAAUAGGACCCAAAAUAAAUUGAGAAUUAUUUACUAGGCUUGUAAUCCUGUUUUCUCUUCUCCUAGAUUGUAUGUUGACUGCCUGCUAUUCCCCUUUCUUCUUACUUCUUCACCUUGUUCCUCGUCUCCUCUCUAUGUUCUAUCUUUUGUUAAGUGUACAAUACUUUUGAGACCAAAUUGUUAUUAACAUGAUGAUAUGACAAUUAUUGUUGUUUUUUGACUAAUCGUUUAUUUCCAUCAUUUGAACAUCCUUCUCUUGCAGUUUUAAUUAUAAACCAUUGAUCGAUUUUUAUGCACUGUUGUGAAUGGUAUUCAAAACCCCAUUGCUUGUUAUGGUUGGCUCUUUACAUUUGGCAAGCGUGAGAAUCUCAUGUCCGCAGGAACCAUUUGAAUGCUACCAUAUGCUGGAUAUUGAAGUUGGUCUAGGGCUGAAGAGGAAACAUUUGAUAGCUAUCUCACUUUUGGUUGGAAAUGACCAUGACCUACAUGGGGUGCAAUGAAUUGGGCUUUGACACAGCUCUUCAGUUUGUCGAAAAUUUUAGUGAAGAGGAGAUAUUGGAUAGGUCUGCCUCUAAGCUGGAUUUAAAUAUUAUGUGAAAUAGGCCAGGGCAUUACACCAGUAGGCCAGGGCUAAUUAAGUCUUUAAAUGAUGUCGAGCACAGUUCAGAAGAGAGCUUGCACUAUGCAAGAUCUUCUCAAUGUUCCUUUUGUGGGCAUCCUGGCAACAAGAAAGCACAUUUCAAGUUUCCUUGUGAAUAUUUUGGUCCUGGUAUUGACGGUUGUAUAUAGAAUUCGGCAGGGUUUAAAUGUACGUGUCCCCUUUGAAAAGCAACUGAUGGCAAUUCUAUAUCUUGGGGAAGCCCAAAAACUGAAAUGCUGGUCGGUUUCUUGGCUUAUCACCAGCUCUGGGAGCCAUCUUAUAUUCGUCAGAGAAUGCUUCCUAUGUUGUCCACUAUAUAUUUAAGAGAAAUAUGGCUAGAAAUCCAAUGAAGACCUUGUUAUAUGGGCAAUCUGGCUUUUAUUCUAUCCACUGCAGAAAGAUUCGGUAUGGGCAUCAAUUUUUUGUGGUCAAAUGGCAGAAAGCUACGCCCCUGUCAAGUAAUGUCGUCAACACAUUGCCAGUUAAGCUGCGGCCUACCAAUGCUAGUUUUGGAACUGGAAUAAUCAAAAAGAAGAAAGAAUCCAAGCUUGAGAUAUGAAGAGUCUGUCAAAAAAUCAGAAUCACCAAAUUCCGAAGGUAUCCAACUGAAUAUUACCGAAUUUUACCGCUCAACAAAAGUACAAGUUCAGACAAAAUUAGGAGAAGGUACAAACAAGAAUGCUGAUUCUGGUGGCAGUACAUUGAAUGAGAAGAGGAAGACAUCAAACUAUAACCUCUCUAAGGCCACAAGACAGUCGCCUUUUGUUGGAAUGGGACAUGGGAGACUGAUUUUGGAUAGCUCAGGGAAAAUGCUACUCAAGAUGUGAAGUUGUGUUUUAUAAAUGGGAUUUAGUAAUUGGGUAGAAAUUUUGACUUGGGAAGAUGUUAGUUGAAUGAAAUUUGGUAAUUAGAUAGAAACAUGAACUAAUUGGAAUUAGUAUAUUUUAUGACCUUGUACAAUUUAGGGUUUGCCUCUGGCCUGUCCUGAAAGAAUCAUACCUACAUAUUUAACUUAUAAAAA
Non-coding RNA from Carica papaya (papaya), 1736 nucleotides. Lineage: Eukaryota; Viridiplantae; Streptophyta; Magnoliopsida; Brassicales; Caricaceae. The record is from RefSeq and is a predicted model, not a curated record.